CGGAUAGCUGUGUCUUGAAUUUUGUGUGACCUUCCUUACUUUAUCAAACCUUGCAAAAAACAGGUUCCUGGCCUAACCGCGGGCUGUACAACUUCCUGGAGUACCUGCUAAUCAGCCAGCUGCAGGGGCCUGGGACCAAAGCGACCUCACCUUUCCUUAGGAAUUUUCCAUUCUUCUCUCCUUUUGCUUCCCCCGCUCCCCCUCCCUGCCUGAAGCCCUGCUUAUAAGCCUCAAUACCCAGUCAAUAAACGAGACCUUGACGUGACUCAGACUGACUCUGUCUUCCCUUAUGCGCCUGGUCUCCUUUCUCUCUCGCCCCCAUUGAUCUUUCAGGAGGUGCCUCCUCGGGUCUCCCCAAUAACCUGGCCCGCGGGACGGGUCAAGUGGCGCCCGAACGUGGGGCUCGAGGCACGGUGACCUGCCGGACGACAGACAACAGAAGGGGCCCCCGGAGAGGAUCAGGGUAGAGACGCCCGGACCGCAUCACUCGUGCAACGCGGGAGAGUCUUGAGAGACUCCAAGCUCCCCAGCUCCUAGCAAUGACUCCCAAGGUCUCCAAAAAAGAUAUGGAGCAAUGACAAGAAGAUGCCACCUGAAUUGCGGACAACACUGACCACUGGGCAAGACACUCUGACUCAACACCUGCUGCCAGGGAUCUGGCCUAUGAGACACUGACAAGAUAAGGUCAGUUUUACCAAGUUGCUCCUCAACAGGGAGAAUUUCACAUUAUGGGCCCAGCAGCCAAGACUGAUGCUGUCCUGACACCUGUCCUGCCAACACUAUGAAGACUAUAGGAGCCUGGGAUGAUGGCACUCUGGGUUAUGGAUAGUCUAUGUUGUUGUUUUUUUAAAUAGAUUUAAAAGUGCACUCAGGUAAAGUUUAUCCUUCUCAGAUCUUUGAUGACAUUGAUGACUGGACUAGCUAUAGCUUUCUCAGCUUAGUAAUUGAUUGAUCAAUGGAUUAAUUAAUUAAAGCUAAUAAGUCUCUUAAAAAAAGAUAAACAGGUUCUAAAUAUAGACUUACAGAUGCUUUUCAUUGGGCCAAGGAAAUUUCAGUCCAGUCUAUACUUGGCUCUCUGGAUGGAAAGGACACUAUGGAUUUCAGGGCAAAUUGAUAAUACUACAAUUACUAAGACUAUGGGUCUAAAAGUUCCAAAUAAGUUCGUAAGUUUUAACUCCUGUUCCUAGUUUAUAUGUAUCUCAACAGGUUUCCACUUGGCUGACAGAUACAUCCUAACAUCAUUUGCUGGUGACAACCUACUGCAAAUGACUGUGAGCCCUGAACUUGCUGAAAGCUGAUAUGGACCAAUUCAGCCGAUAUGCAUACCAUCUCUUCAGCUGGUCAAUAGAACGUUCCCUCUUGUCUUUGACUAACAUUCUGGCUUUCCAGGGCCUUGGCAACAACGUCCCAAUGUCAGCAGGAAGUAAUUAUAGAAGAGAAAACAUCGCCCUUGUUUCCCGCCCCCCCCAGAAUGUUAGAUCAAAAGGGAAUUUCUUGUCAUAGGGAACCUGAGAUAAAGUUCCAAGUUCCUUGAGGAUAAGGAACUCUGUCAGCCAUCAUAAGGUUUUUGGCCCUUGUGCUUCUGCUAAUUAUUGUUGGCUCUUAUAUCACUGAUGUUUUAACUAAAUGAUGAUUCAUGUCUGGGUACCACUAAACUGAGGAUGCUAGAAUUCCAAGAUCCACCUCUGAACCCAUGACACACUUGCAGAUGGCAAAAACUGAAUAAGGGGAAGCUCGCUUUGCCAUUGAUAAGGGGAAAACUCUUAUGUUCUGGUCUAAUUAGUCUCCGAUAUGGAAUUCUUUGAGCAGAGAGACAGAUACACUCGAGAACCUGUGUCUAUGACUAUUGCCCUCUUGUUAGGUAUUGGGGGCAUCACUGCAGGAAUUGGUACAGGAACUACUGCCCUCAUGCAGAGCAACCACCUUAUGCAAUUACAAAUGGCUAUGACUACUGACCUAGAGGCCAUAGAAAGAUCCAUUUCUGCUCUGGAGAAAUCUUUAACCUUGCUCUCUGAGGUUGUGUUACAAAACAAAAGAGGUCUGGAUUUACUAUUUUUAAAGGAGGGGGGAUUAAGUGCAGCCUUAAAGAAAAAAAAUGCUGUUUUUAUGCCGACCCUACUGGUAUUGUCAGGGAAUCGAUGGAAAAAUUAAGGGAAAGGCUAGCCCAAAGAAAAAGGGAGUUUGAAGAUCAGCACUGGUGGUUUGAAAAUUGGCUGCAAGGGUCCCCCUGGCUCUCUGCCUUGCUACCUACCAUUCUAGCCCCCUUAAUUGUUUUCUUCUUCUCAUUACCUUUGGUCCCUGAGCCUUUCAGCGGUUGACUCAGUUUAUCAAUAAUCAGAUUGAUUCGGCCUUACCACAACACGUCUCAAUUCAUUAUCACAGAGUAGAUUCCAAGGAGACCGACCAGGAGCCCCAUCAAGGACCCAGAUUCAGUGUCCUAAGGCCCUAGCGUCCCCAUGGUCCUGCUAGAGGGUACCCAAUGACGGGAAUAGUACAGGGCCCACGCCGGAGACAACAGCGUACAGAGGUUGUCGAGACCGGCUCAACAUGGCACGCUGCCGAGCGUGGGAAGCUCCCUGUGUAGCCUAAGACAGGGACUCUCUCGGACCCUAGCCAACCCGACCACAAUGGACUUGGUCCAUUUUUGAGAAAAGGGGGGGAACUGUUGGAGGUUGACUCCGGACAGCUGUGUCUUGAAUUUUGUGUGACCUUCCUUACUUUAUCAAACCUUGCAAAAAACAGGUUCCUGGCCUAACCGCGGGCUGUACAACUUCCUGGAGUACCUGCUAAUCAGCCAGCUGCAGGGGCCUGGGACCAAAGCGACCUCACCCUUCCUUAGGAAUUUUCCAUUCUUCUCUCCUUUUGCUUCCCCCGCUCCCCCUCCCUGCCUGAAGCCCUGCUUAUAAGCCUCAAUACCCAGUCAAUAAACGAGACCUUGACGCGA
Long non-coding RNA from Peromyscus californicus insignis, 2944 nucleotides. RefSeq lists it as uncharacterized. The transcript has 2 exons. Lineage: Eukaryota; Metazoa; Chordata; Mammalia; Rodentia; Cricetidae. The record is from RefSeq and is a predicted model, not a curated record.